Molecule: non-coding RNA, 46 nt
Filed under: Trichobilharzia regenti
Lineage: Eukaryota; Metazoa; Platyhelminthes; Trematoda; Strigeidida; Schistosomatidae
Source: RNAcentral
GUACUGCUGAAGAGUCCCAGUUUAGGACGAAACAGCUGCCCAGUAC